AGUGAACGCUGGCGGUAGGCCUAACACAUGCAAGUCGAACGGCAGCACAGUAAGAGCUUGCUCUUACGGGUGGCGAGUGGCGGACGGGUGAGGAAUACAUCGGAAUCUACUUUUUCGCAGGGGAUAACGUAGGGAAACUUACGCUAAUACCGCAUACGACCUACGGGUGAAAGCAGGGGAUCUUCGGACCUUGCGCGAUUGAAUGAGCCGAUGUCGGAUUAGCUAGUUGGCGGGGUAAAGGCCCACCAAGGCGACGAUCCGUAGCUGGUCUGAGAGGAUGAUCAGCCACACUGGAACUGAGACACGGUCCAGACUCCUACGGGAGGCAGCAGUGGGGAAUAUUGGACAAUGGGCGCAAGCCUGAUCCAGCCAUACCGCGUGGGUGAAGAAGGCCUUCGGGUUGUAAAGCCCUUUUGUUGGGAAAGAAAAGCAGCAGGUUAAUACCCCGCUGUUCUGACGGUACCCAAAGAAUAAGCACCGGCUAGCUUCGUG
Molecule: ribosomal RNA, 492 nt
Filed under: uncultured bacterium
Lineage: Bacteria
Description: partial 16S ribosomal RNA
Rfam family: Bacterial small subunit ribosomal RNA
Source: RNAcentral